UACAGAGGGUGCAAGCGUUAAUUGGAAUUACUGGGCGUAAAGCGCUCGUAGGUGGAUCUUUAAGUCGAUUGUGAAAGCCCCGGGCUCAACCUGGGAAUUGCACUCGAAACUGUAGAUCUAGAGUAUGGUAGAGGAAAGAAGAAUUCCCGGAGUAGCGGUGAAAUGCGUAGAUAUCGGGAGGAAUACCAGUGGCGAAGGCGGCUUUCUGGACCAAUACUGACACUGCGGGGCAAAAGCCCGGGGAGCAACGUGG
Molecule: ribosomal RNA, 253 nt
Filed under: uncultured bacterium
Lineage: Bacteria
Description: partial 16S ribosomal RNA
Rfam family: Bacterial small subunit ribosomal RNA
Source: RNAcentral